AGAUUCCUGGGAUGUGCGUGGUACUUUAUAUUUUGACCCUACGUUUACAAAUCGGGAGAGGUUUUAAGUCUUUGGUCGGAAUGCCAGGCCGCAUUUAUUACCGUUUUUAACGGUAGCAGCGGACGGCAGGAAAACCAAUCACCUCACCCACCUAGCAGGGAGCUAGGAGUCAGAAAUGAAGGAAACGGCAUCCCGGGAUUUUA
RNAcentral lists this non-coding RNA (203 nucleotides) under Clostridiaceae bacterium. Its description in RNAcentral is "6S RNA". It matches the Rfam family "6S / SsrS RNA". Rfam says of the family: E. coli 6S RNA was the first non coding RNA to be sequenced, but its function was unknown until recently. It consists of 184 nucleotides that fold into an extended hairpin structure with a large single-stranded internal bulge. The record is from RNAcentral. RNAcentral also lists the same sequence under 1 other name. Lineage: Bacteria; Bacillati; Bacillota; Clostridia; Eubacteriales; Clostridiaceae.